UACGUAGGGGGCUAGCGUUGUCCGGAAUCAUUGGGCGUAAAGCGCGCGUAGGCGGCCCGGUAAGUCCGCUGUAAAAGUCAAAGGCUCAACCUUUGAAUGUCAGUGGAUACUGCCGGGCUAGAGUCCGGAAGAGGCGAGUGGAACUCCUGGUGUAGCGGUGGAAUGCGCAGAUAUCAGGAAGAACACCGACGGCGAAGGCAGCUCGCUGGGACGGUACUGACGCUGAGGCGCGAAAGCGUGGGAGCGAACAGG
This 252-nucleotide ribosomal RNA is filed under the name uncultured bacterium. RNAcentral's name for it is "partial 16S ribosomal RNA". It matches the Rfam family "Bacterial small subunit ribosomal RNA", at positions 524 to 776 of the family's 1533-position model. The record is from RNAcentral.